GUGUUUAUUAAAAAACAAAAAAAAAAAAAAACAAAGACUCUCCAGAAUCGAUGUAAUGUUGAGCAACAAUCUCGUCCGUCAAAUUCCUCUGUACCGGGGAAAUUAAACUAAUACCGAAAUAUUUCCAUUGCGAAAAAGAGAUAAGAUGAUCUCUUCUUAUGGCUUUUGUGGAAUACCUCGUAUAAGCUGAUUUUGUGUUCUUAUUAAAAUGUGUAAUUAAAUUCAUUAAAGAUAUGCUGAUCUCUCACGCAUUGCUCAGUUAAUGCGUGAGACGAAUGGUGAUGUUUGUUUUUGAUCAAAAAUUUAGGCUUCCUUCUAAUUCGCGCGUUAGAUAGAAUAAAGUUCCUUAUAUCUUUAAACACGGAAUUUUUUUAAAUUUUAGAUAUUAAAAUUAAGUUUUUUCCAAAUACUUAAUUGCCUAAUUUUUCAG
Mycetomoellerius zeteki is the source of this 430-nucleotide long non-coding RNA. RefSeq lists it as uncharacterized. The record is from RefSeq and is a predicted model, not a curated record. The transcript has 3 exons. NCBI's taxonomy places the organism in Eukaryota, Metazoa, Arthropoda, Insecta, Hymenoptera, Formicidae.